GGCAGAUAAUUUAGACAUAUCAGAUGGAUCAUGGUGGCUGACUUCACCAACUUUGACGUCUUGCAAGCUUACAACUGAACUACUUAGUGAACCAGCAAAUUGUUUAAUACAAACCCCCAUGCAACAAAGAAGCAUCUCUCGAGUCUUCGAUUGCCUAGUGACCUUGUACAAGGAAACCACCUUGUUCCAAAACUGGAGCACGGACUCAAUAUCCAUAUCACCAAAAAAUUUAGGAUAAUAUUCUUCUCCAUUAUUCUGAUAUUCCUGCAAACUCCAGCUGUAGAUAAUCUUCAGAAUGUAGUUCAAACAUUUAUGGUUAUUGUCCAAAGUUAAAAGUUUCACCAUAGUGGUCUGGAGAUCCAUGCUGGUCAAGCAACUUCUCUUUAUCUCACUAUAUUCUGGUGUCUUGAGAAAUAAAAGAAACCACUUCAAUGUUGCAAUCCGAACUUCAUAUGAAGUGUCAGAGAAAGAACGUAUUAGCCUUUCCUUGAAUCUGC
RNAcentral lists this unclassified non-coding RNA (497 nucleotides) under Hevea brasiliensis (rubber tree). Lineage: Eukaryota; Viridiplantae; Streptophyta; Magnoliopsida; Malpighiales; Euphorbiaceae. The record is from RNAcentral.